GAUGAACGCUGGCGGCGUGCCUAAUACAUGCAAGUCGAGCGAACGGACAAGAAGCUUGCUUCUCUGAUGUUAGCGGCGGACGGGUGAGUAACACGUGGAUAACCUACCUAUAAGACUGGGAUAACUUCGGGAAACCGGAGCUAAUACCGGAUAAUAUUUUGAACCGCAUGAUUCAAAAGUGAAAGACGGUCUUGCUGUCACUUAUAGAUGGAUCCGCGCUGCAUUAGCUAGUUGGUAAGGUAACGGCUUACCAAGGCAACGAUGCAUAGCCGACCUGAGAGGGUGAUCGGCCACACUGGAACUGAGACACGGUCCAGACUCCUACGGGAGGCAGCAGUAGGGAAUCUUCUGCAAUGGGCGAAAGCCUGACGGAGCAACGCCGCGUGAGUGAUGAAGGUCUUCGGAUCGUAAAACUCUGUUAUUAGGGAAGAACAUAUGUGUAAGUAACUGUGCACAUCUUGACGGUACCUAAUCAGAAAGCCACGGCUAACUACGUG
This 497-nucleotide ribosomal RNA is filed under the name uncultured bacterium. RNAcentral describes it as "partial 16S ribosomal RNA". It matches the Rfam family "Bacterial small subunit ribosomal RNA", at positions 28 to 507 of the family's 1533-position model. The record is from RNAcentral.